RNAcentral lists this long non-coding RNA (985 nucleotides) under Aquilegia coerulea. RNAcentral's name for it is "long non-coding RNA (ACOE_LNC000311)". The record is from RNAcentral. Lineage: Eukaryota; Viridiplantae; Streptophyta; Magnoliopsida; Ranunculales; Ranunculaceae.
UUGUAUUUUCCCUUUAUAUAGGGAGUUGAUUUAUUAAGGUUUAGAGGAUAUAGUGAUUUAAAAGUUGAUCAUGACUAUCUGUCCCACCUUAAGCUAUCUGAGAUCCAGUCUUAUGCAUGGAAAUGGGAUGAGCUAUGGAUUGUUGGGCUACUGAUGAAAACUGCAAGAAACAUGGAGUAUUUUUCUAUCACAACGCGGGCAGAUUACAAUGCUGAACUUUUACAUUAUGAAGUGCAAGAGAAGCAUUUCAAACAUUUAAAAAAACAUGCUAGAGAGUUGAACUAUGUGAUUGAGUUUGACUGAAACAUUCGCGACAAUGUUAUGUUUUGAACUUGUAAGUAUCAACUUUGAAUUAUGCCUUUUUCCUAUAAUCCCUUUAUUAUUGCUUUUCAUGUCAUUUUCUUCUUGCUAUUAAUGGUCUGGUAAUUAAAGUUUAAUAAACUAGGAUUCCUCGUGGCAGUUACUCUGAACUCACUGCUGCAUGCAUACAAGCAAUUGUUUGUGCAGUCUUACCCCUUGGCUUCUUUUGCAAAGUCGAACCUUAGGGCACUUGGCAGAUUGAUGUCUAAUUGUCUAUUUAAACUGUUUCAAUAUUAAUUAGAUUUGUUAUGAAAUACAUUGCGUUGAUGGUUUGCCAUUAUAAUGACCUUGUCUUGUGGGUAUUAUAUUUGCUUUCAGGUUGUGUAUCUGGAUGGCAAGUAGAAUUUUUGUUGUUGUCAUUCACAUUGGAGGUGCUGAAGAGUUUUGGAAGCAAGUACAAAUCAGCUUCAAUAUAGAAUAACUGAUAUGUCGUAAAACAUUAAGCACGGCACUGUCAAUGUUAUGGGGCAUAUAUGGAUUUGUGAAGUAAAAUUUAACUUGUUGUCUACACAUUUCUGUUCCAUUUAGUGUUUUGCUCAUUUUCUGCCUGAAACUGGAUAUGCUGAUCAAAGAACAUAAUUCCCCGCAUUUGCUUACAAUAGCAUAAAUAAACUCUCUCCUGUUA